Molecule: ribosomal RNA, 446 nt
Filed under: Fusobacterium periodonticum
Lineage: Bacteria; Fusobacteriati; Fusobacteriota; Fusobacteriia; Fusobacteriales; Fusobacteriaceae
Description: bacterial SSU rRNA
Rfam family: Bacterial small subunit ribosomal RNA
Source: RNAcentral
GAUGAACGCUGACAGAAUGCUUAACACAUGCAAGUCUACUUGAACUUCGGUUUGGGUGGCGGACGGGAGAGUAACGCGUAAAGAACUUGCCUCACAGUUAGGGACAACAUUUGGAAACGAAUGCUAAUACCUGAUAUUAUGAUUCUAGGGCAUCCUAAGAUUAUGAAAGCUAUAUGCGCUGUGAGAGAGCUUUGCGUCCCAUUAGCUAGUUGGAGAGGUAACGGCUCACCAAGGCGAUGAUGGGUAGCCGGCCUGAGAGGGUGAACGGCCACAAGGGGACUGAGACACGGCCCUUACUCCUACGGGAGGCAGCAGUGGGGAAUAUUGGACAAUGGACCAAAAGUCUGAUCCAGCAAUUCUGUGUGCACGAUGACGUUUUUCGGAAUGUAAAGUGCUUUCAGUUGGGAAGAAAAAAAUGACGGUACCAACAGAAGAAGUGACGGCUA